This 464-nucleotide ribosomal RNA is filed under the name uncultured bacterium. RNAcentral's name for it is "partial 16S ribosomal RNA". It matches the Rfam family "Bacterial small subunit ribosomal RNA", at positions 28 to 507 of the family's 1533-position model. The record is from RNAcentral.
GACGAACGCUGGCGGCGUGCUUAACACAUGCAAGUCGAACGGAAAGGCCCUUUCUGGGGUACACGAGUGGCGAACGGGUGAGUAACACGUGAGUAACCUGCCCACAACUAUGGGAUAACGCUAGGUAACUAGUGCAAAUACUGGCUAUGUGCUCAUGCUGCAUGGUGGGGGUUGGAAAGCUCCGGCGGUUGUGGAUGGACUGGCGGCCUAUCAGCUAGUUGGUGGGGUAGUGGCCUACCAAGGCGGCGACGGGUAGCCGGCCUGAGAGGGUGACCGGCCACAUUGGGUCUGAGAUACGGCCGAGACUCCUACGGGAGGCAGCAGUGGGGAAUAUUGCACAAUGGGCGCAAGCCUGAUGCAGCAACGCCGCGUGCGUGAUGACGGCCUGCGGGUUGUAUACCGCUUUCAGCAGGGACGAAGCUUUUAGUGCCGGUACCUGCAGAAGAAGCACCGGCUACUUCCUG